RNAcentral lists this transfer RNA (63 nucleotides) under Bironella derooki. RNAcentral describes it as "tRNA-Arg". The record is from RNAcentral. Lineage: Eukaryota; Metazoa; Arthropoda; Insecta; Diptera; Culicidae.
AAAUAUGAAGCGAUUGAUUGCAAUUAGUUUCGGCCUAAUCUUAGGUGAUUUCACCCAUAUUUU